UGCUCGUCCCCGUCAAACUGUGCAUAUCUGUAUACUUUCAGCUUGUAUACUUUGACAUGUGCAUACUUUAUUCUUAAUUGUGCAGAAACUUCUUUUGUGAUGCAACUAAUGGGGAAAUACAAAAAAACACAUAAUGCCGAUUGCUUUGAGCCUUUGAGUUAGAAGGGUCUGCAAUCAAUGGCACAAUUCAGCAGUUGAGCUACAAAAACUGAAAUUGAGUGCUUGUGUAAUGCUCAUCACCCAAGGACUGGGUGUUGCUUAUAUCCUGGAAUGGGGUGCGCGUCCCAUUGGGAUUGGUCGGGGCCAUACGAAGUCCUUCAACCCUAUGAAUGUCAAGAAUGUAUCACACAAUUGUAACAGAAGGAAUAGUAUUAGCACAACGCAGACAGAGUAUAUCUCAGGGUGACUUUAUUUGUGUUCAUAUGAAUUGGAACUGAGCAUUGAACGAUCCAUAUGCAGCUUCAUGAGGCAUUUAGGUGAAGUCAGUACAAUGCUCAUUUGCCAAGGACUCAUGGAACGACGUCAGGUUUAGGUGAGGUUGACAAAUGAGCAUGCAUCUGCGGAGCAGAGGGGUCUUCUAGCCUAACAAAGUCUUGGUGGCAGCGGUGUGUAAAAGACUUACGAACUUCAGAUCAGAGAAGACCAUGCACCUGUGCCGGUGAAGAGCUCGUCGUCGCCGCCAUG
Molecule: long non-coding RNA, 684 nt
Organism: Triticum dicoccoides
Lineage: Eukaryota; Viridiplantae; Streptophyta; Magnoliopsida; Poales; Poaceae
Exons: 4
Source: RefSeq, a predicted model, not a curated record